Molecule: long non-coding RNA, 637 nt
Organism: Chinchilla lanigera (long-tailed chinchilla)
Lineage: Eukaryota; Metazoa; Chordata; Mammalia; Rodentia; Chinchillidae
Exons: 2
Source: RefSeq, a predicted model, not a curated record
UUUCUGUCCUUCUGAUUCAGUGAAUUUCAGACUGUAAAGACCACACAGGCAGUAAAUGCAAGGAAAAAGAUAAAGACAGCAAGCAGUAACAGAGCUGAAACAAACAGAUGGCCUCAAUCUGUAAUGCUCACCUGAAAGGACAAAACCGUUCUGAACUGAAAACAGCUAUUUCUGCAAUGCCUUGAAGGUGAAGGGAAGAUGAAGCGUACCAUGAAAGCGGCAGCCGCAGGUCUCAUGUGCCCACUUAGUUCUCAGGUGAUGGCCCACGCCACUGUCUUCAGGGUUUACAUUACUCCAGACCCUAUCAGCUGCACAAAACUGCUGAGAGAAAAUCCCACAGACUCAAAGAUUUUGAAUAUAUGACAAAAUAAGGAAGCUUGACCAUCAAUCAGAAGCCAAGGACUGUAACACUUUUUUUUUUUUGGUACCGGGAAUCGAACUCAGGAUCUUGCGCUUGCCCGGCAUGCGCUGUGCUGCUGAGCUAUAUCUCCGCCCCUGUAACACUUUGUGACGCGGACUUUCUUUUCAUACACGAGUAUAAAACCAAUAUUCACUAAUAUUUAUGAGCACUGUUUUUGGAUGUAAAGGGGAGGAAGCCUUAUAUUCACGAAUAAGUAAAUCAUAAUAGAUAUUUGAA